GGUUAACGCUAGCGACGUGCCUAAGGUAUGCAAGUCGAACGGUGAACUUUUGGUAGUAAUACCGAAAGUUCAUAGUGGCAAACGGCUGAGUAACGCGUGGGAAUCUCCCCUUGAGUCUGAUAUAGCUCGCCGAAAGGCGGGGUAAUCUCAGAUAGUCUCGCAAGAGUAAAGAUUUUUCGCUCAAGGAUGAGCCCGCGUCCUAUCAGGUUGUUGGUGGGGUAAUGGCCUACCAAGCCUAUGACGGGUAGCUGGUCUGAGAGGAUGGCCAGCCAGACUGGGACUGCGAUACGGCCCAGACUCCUACGGGAGGCAGCAACUAGGAAUUAUGCGCAAUGGCCGAAAGGCUGACGCUGCGACGUCGCGUGGAGGAUGAAGGUCUUAGGAUCGUAAACUCCUUUUAUCUACGAACAAGUUCUGAGUGUAGUAGAUGAAUAAGUGCCUGCCAACCACGUGCCAGAAGCAUCGGUAAUACGUGGGACACAAGCGUUACCCGGAUUCACUGGGCGUAAAGAGAUGCGUAGGCGUCUAGAAAAGUUCUGUGUUAAAUCCCAAGGCUCACCCUUGGAACCGCAUAGAAAACUCUCUGGAUUGAGUCAUGUAGAGAAUAGGGGAAUUCCUGGUGGAGCGGUUAAAUGCGUUGAUAUCAGGAGGAACACCAAUGGCGAAAGCACCUAUUUGGACAUGUACUGACGCUAAGGCUCGAAAGUGUGGGGAGCAAAACGGAUUAGAUACCCGUGUAGUCCACACCGUAAACGAUCCCUGUUAGAUGUUCGAAAUUUGCUGAAAUUUCUCUUCGGAGAAGGAUAAGCACUUUUUGAGUGUCGCAGCUAACGCGUUAAACAGGGCGCCUGUGAAGUACGACCGCAAGGUUA
This 872-nucleotide ribosomal RNA is filed under the name uncultured bacterium. RNAcentral describes it as "bacterial SSU rRNA". It matches the Rfam family "Bacterial small subunit ribosomal RNA", at positions 28 to 896 of the family's 1533-position model. The record is from RNAcentral.